Long non-coding RNA from Eupeodes corollae, 577 nucleotides. RefSeq lists it as uncharacterized. The record is from RefSeq and is a predicted model, not a curated record. NCBI's taxonomy places the organism in Eukaryota, Metazoa, Arthropoda, Insecta, Diptera, Syrphidae. The transcript has 2 exons.
UCAAUCGUACAUGUAUGUAAUUUACAAAAUAUCUACGAGUAGGUACGCGUAAAUAACCAAAUUGUUUGUAUACUCCUCGGUGUCGGCCAACAUUCAUGCUAAAUCUAUUAACUAACAGGUUUUGUUCUAUACCACCAAAAAUAACUUAAUUAACAGGGCAAUUAAAUUGAAUAUUCAACUGGAAACAAUCCUCAUUUGGUAAAAUUUUUCUCUGCAGCCAGGGCACUUUUCUGGAGUAUUGGAACAGGACGCGACAACAGCGACACAGGUAGAAGGAACAUAACAAAAAAGGCAGUGAAUGCACAUUAAUUCCCUUUAUCGAUAAAAUAUUGCAAAUAUUUAUUAUUAUCUGUUGAUUAUUUAUAUCCGAGUUCAUCUAGUUAUGCAAAUUGACGAUGAUGCAGUUUAACAUUACCUCUGCAAACGGGAUCAGGAUUGUAAUAAAAGUAUGCAUAUGCACUUACUCGCAAAUCUAGGUAGAUGGAGGUGCAGGUAAUGCACGAACGCCUGAAAAUAUGUUUUAUGUAUUUAUGCCAUACUUAACAAUGAUAAUUGAAAUAAAUUGAUAUUUUAUGUG